CGUUUAGCUCUCAAAAAGCAUUUGGUGAAUUUUUUAAUUUCAAUACACAUUUAGCUAACCGUAGAUACCUUCCAUGCCUGCUAUGGCUGGGUAUAUGCGAGUACAUGCCACAUUAAUAAAAUAAAUUUUCAUACACAUCCUCAGAAUUCUCACAUUAAAACGUUUAUCCACAGCCUCCUGUCUAUUGGAAUUUGAAUAGAAGUUUAAUGCUCUGACAAGAUGUCAAACCUGCCUAAUGAAAUAUUGCUGGCCGACAAAGCCAACAAAACCCCACUUCAAUGUUACGCAUACCCCGUGUUGCCUUUGCGCAUCUUUUUCACUCCCCCAGGCCGGCGAUUGGGCAAUUAUCCACAUCGAGAGCCUGUUUGAUGUGGCCUGCCUGCCAUCCUGCCAUCCUGCCAGACUGCCACACGGCUGCUUUUGAACUAAUCCAGCACCCAGAAAACCAACGAACAUUGAAAGGGAAGACAAAAAGCAUGACGACAGCAUAAAUAAGUCACAAAGAAAAAUGUGUAAAAUGUUGGGCAAAUGCUUAAAGCUAUUCAUAAUUUA
Molecule: long non-coding RNA, 552 nt
Organism: Drosophila willistoni
Lineage: Eukaryota; Metazoa; Arthropoda; Insecta; Diptera; Drosophilidae
Exons: 3
Source: RefSeq, a predicted model, not a curated record